This 490-nucleotide ribosomal RNA is filed under the name uncultured bacterium. Its description in RNAcentral is "partial 16S ribosomal RNA". It matches the Rfam family "Bacterial small subunit ribosomal RNA", at positions 30 to 507 of the family's 1533-position model. The record is from RNAcentral.
AUUGAACGCUGGCGGCAGGCCUAACACAUGCAAGUCGAACGGUAACAGGAAGAAGCUUGCUUCUUUGCUGACGAGUGGCGGACGGGUGAGUAAUGUCUGGGAAACUGCCCGAUGGAGGGGGAUAACUACUGGAAACGGUAGCUAAUACCGCAUAACGUCGCAAGACCAAAGAGGGGGACCUUCGGGCCUCUUGCCAUCGGAUGUGCCCAGAUGGGAUUAGCUAGUAGGUGGGGUAACGGCUCACCUAGGCGACGAUCCCUAGCUGGUCUGAGAGGAUGACCAGCCACACUGGAACUGAGACACGGUCCAGACUCCUACGGGAGGCAGCAGUGGGGAAUAUUGCACAAUGGGCGUAAGCCUGAUGCAGCCAUGCCGCGUGUAUGAAGAAGGCCUUCGGGUUGUAAAGUACUUUCAGCGGGGAGGAAGGGAGUAAAGUUAAUACCUUUGCUCAUUGACGUUACCCGCAGAAGAAGCACCGGCUAACUCCGUG